RNAcentral lists this non-coding RNA (28 nucleotides) under Bombyx mori (domestic silkworm). The record is from RNAcentral. Lineage: Eukaryota; Metazoa; Arthropoda; Insecta; Lepidoptera; Bombycidae.
GUCCAACAUUUCAGCAGCUAAUUGUUGG